UUUGAUAUUUCUGUAUGAUCUGUAUUUAAAAUAGCUUAAUUUCCCUAGUCUGUGUUACAGCUCUAGGAAAUGUUUCAUCACAUUGAGAAACCAGUAAAACUUUGGUGUCUUGGGUAUUUAGCUUUUGAACAUGUACAUAGACAAGUCUCUUCACAUCUUCUUCCUUGUAUCUGUAAGUCUGUUACACUUGCAUUGUGAGAUGGAUGCAGUUUACAAUGUUUCUAGGUUUUUGCAACCAGCAGCCAUGUUAAAAGACAUUAUUCGAAGCCUGACAAAACAAAACAAAACCCCAAAACACCAGGCAGCAUCUGACAGUACUAAAAUAAUGCUGAGCCAUGCAAAACAAUAUAUUCUCUUUGUCUGAAUUUCUGUUGCUAACUCAUCAUAUAUAAUAUUUUAUGAUUUUUUAAUUUAAAAUCUUGGUUGUUUUUCAGCAAAAUUCAGUGUACGCAGAGUAGCCAAGAUAUGGAAGUCUUUACAUACACUAUACAUAUUGCACUAUUUAUUUUUCACAUUGACAUAUAAGAGAUAUGACUGGCGGCUUGCAUUUUUGAUGUCCAGCAGAGAAACAGAACUUCCACAAUGAAAACCCAGUUUCCUUGAAGAUUUGCCAUGCUACCAUGAGAUCAUCUCACAGAAGAUAAUUCAAGAUGGCUGAGAGUGGAAAAGUUUCAGGCACAAUGCAGUGGUGGUGGUACCAGUGGUUGAACCUCUUCCAUUUCUGAAGGGAUGUAUAUACCCAGACACUUCAACAUGGCCCUGCAGUCCUUCAUCAUGUUAAAGAACUCUUCUGUCAUUCCUGAGAAGAGGUUCUGAUCAUCAAAUAGCAGGUCCUCAACUGUAUCCUGAACCUCUCUCAGGAAUCCCGACAACUGGAACCAUGACAUCCUGUGAAUGACAACUGCUGUGGAGAUGGAUCUAGCGUCUGUGUCUGCAGCAUCCAAGCUGGGAGAGAGGUUCUGGCUAAUAACUCACCCUCCUUAAUAAUAGCCUGGAAGUGUUCUCUGUGCUUUUAUGGAAGAUGUUCA
Trachemys scripta elegans is the source of this 1028-nucleotide long non-coding RNA. RefSeq lists it as uncharacterized. The record is from RefSeq and is a predicted model, not a curated record. Lineage: Eukaryota; Metazoa; Chordata; Testudines; Emydidae. The transcript is spliced from 3 exons.